This 253-nucleotide ribosomal RNA is filed under the name uncultured bacterium. RNAcentral describes it as "partial 16S ribosomal RNA". It matches the Rfam family "Bacterial small subunit ribosomal RNA", at positions 524 to 776 of the family's 1533-position model. The record is from RNAcentral.
UACAGAGGUCUCAAGCGUUGUUCGGAUUCAUUGGGCGUAAAGGGUGCGUAGGUGGCGCCGUAAGUCGGGUGUGAAAUUUCGGAGCUUAACUCCGAAACUGCAUUCGAUACUGCGGUGCUUGAGGACUGGAGAGGAGGCUGGAAUUCAUGGUGUAGCAGUGAAAUGCGUAGAGAUCAUGAGGAAGACCAGUGGCGAAGGCGGGUCUCUGGACAGUUCCUGACACUGAGGCACGAAGGCCAGGGGAGCAAACGGG